UAUGGCAAUGACAUUUACUUGCUCUGCUCUUCUGUAAGUAUGAGUAGUUCUAUGUUCCUUAUUUGAACAAUAUCAUAACAUUCCAUGCUUGUUCUCAAGCUAUGUUCUCAGACUUUUGGCUGGUACAAGAACAACAAUUGGCAUUGGAAAUUUCUUGUAUAGAGCCCCCAUCACAACAACGGAUAGGAGAGAAAUCUACAUCGGUUGCCUGCAAUAUUGAGUUGUUCUAGUGUUCUCCAUAUUUGCUUUCAUUCUCUUGGAAAGGCACACAGCUAUCUGGAUGAUAAUGAUACACAUUGUGCAGAUAUUGUUCAUACAGGCAAGAAAUACUGUAUGAUGCUACUAACAUAGGAGAGAUUAACUUCGUCAACUGCACAUUCACCGUCUUUCUCCAUUUACCAGGCAUAUUGAUCCAUGCUGCAAGACUAUACCUUCAGUGUGCAAAAAUCGAGCAACACGGACAGAAUUUGGAACUAUAGAACAAAUAGAGAGUAGAAUGUGCACCUUACUGUAAAUGAUGAACAAAUAUUCUUUUGUGUCUAAAGAAUUUGAAUAUUUUUCUUGGCAAAAAAAAUACUGAUGGUUGAUUA
This is a long non-coding RNA of Solanum dulcamara, 590 nucleotides long. RefSeq lists it as uncharacterized. The record is from RefSeq and is a predicted model, not a curated record. NCBI's taxonomy places the organism in Eukaryota, Viridiplantae, Streptophyta, Magnoliopsida, Solanales, Solanaceae. The transcript has 2 exons.